UUUUCUAAGAGGUUCUUUUAAAAAUGACACCAACUCCUAGCUAGGGGGGAUUCUUUAAGGAAAUAUGUCAUUUUCUUGUCUAGAACUCAAUGAGUUCACAGAAAAAUCAGGGCAGGACUGAAAGGAUGUGGAAUAAAAGACCCAGUUAAUGCCUAGAAGAUGCCAAAUUGGAAAACGUUACUUUCCUGAUGCCAUCCAUCACCGCAAAUGGCUCAGCAGGCAAGAGCCCGUCUCAAGCUGGCAGUCUUGCCAUUGAAAUAGAUCAUUUCAACAAGAGCAGCGGAGUCACAGAGCUCAGCACGGCUGGGGACAUUCCACAGACCAGCUCAGCAUUAGGAAGCUAAAGACAUGGUGAUUCUAAAAGUUAGCUCUGAGAAAAUAAAGUCACGCUGAACAAGAUCCUUGGUGAAUCACCAGAAACAGAGCAGAUCUUAUCAUUCCCAGGAGAAUUGGGGUUCAGAAGCCGGUCCAGAGCUCCAGGGAACGUUUGAUUUGGCUGAGAUCUGUCUAACGUAUGUGAAGAAUCUUCCCAUCAAAAUCAGAAGACUGGAGAGAUGGGUCAGUCGAUAAAAUGCUUGCUGUGCAGGCUGGAGGACUUGAGUUUGGAUCCCUGGCCCUCACAUGAGAGCUAGGUGCAAUGGCCUGCAUCUGUAACCCUAACACUUGGGGUGUGGGGGAGACAGGCCGAACCCGAGGACUUAUUGGUCACCAAGACUAGCAGAAAUGAUGGGUUCCAGGAUUACUGAGAGACUCUGUCUCAAAAAACAAGAGUUGUAUGUGAGGUGAGGAUGGGAUGGACAAAUCAUUUACUGAGAAUCCUGCACCAGCAUCAACACUGGACUUCAGAUGCCCGUCACCCACAGAAAUGCCCGCCACGAAUGGCUGCCCACCCUUGGUAAUACCUGCAUUUAGGAGGCAGACACAGGGGAUCCUUGGGACAAGCUGGCUAGCUCUGCCUUCAAGUGAGAGACCCUGCCUCAAUAUAUAAGGUGAAGAGUGACUGAGGAAGACACUUAGCAUCAACCUUUGACCUUCAUGCUUGCAUACAUGGGCAUGCAUACACCUCCACACAUAUGCACACAUACAUCACAUACACAAGAAAAAAAGAAGGAAUAAAGUCUUUUGCACAUACAGGGAAUAAGCCUCGGUUAUCAGGACAGAUCACAGAAAAGGCCACCUCAUUACACAGCCAUCCUGGAUAAAUGGGGCAUUACUCCAUA
Alexandromys fortis (reed vole) is the source of this 1220-nucleotide long non-coding RNA. RefSeq lists it as uncharacterized. The record is from RefSeq and is a predicted model, not a curated record. NCBI's taxonomy places the organism in Eukaryota, Metazoa, Chordata, Mammalia, Rodentia, Cricetidae. The transcript has 3 exons.